Molecule: long non-coding RNA, 412 nt
Filed under: Rhinopithecus bieti (black snub-nosed monkey)
Lineage: Eukaryota; Metazoa; Chordata; Mammalia; Primates; Cercopithecidae
Description: lncRNA (ENSRBIG00000046011.1)
Source: RNAcentral
AUUUUGCAUUUGGAAGUUACUAUGACAGGAAUAGUGCAGCAUGUGGGGAGUCAGUCUCUAGGCAGCAAGUUGGGUUCAGCCACUGUGGAUUUCUCUGGUCUUAGGGAGGACAGCUGGAUUUCCCAUUACUAGUGAUUUGAGAGCAGCCAGGGAUGAGCCUAGGCCUUGUGAGAACUCUGUUCUCUCCCUGGAAUGGAUGAAGGCAUCAUAGGGAACAUCAGAAGAGGAUGACCAUGGCCAGAGUUGGUUCAGGAAGUAGGCUUCCCGAUUAUUCUACAAACGCUAUGAAAUCCUUGUUCUUCGUUGCACAAUUAGCUGUGAAACAGACAGAGGUUACCUACAAUAAGGUGACAACAUUGUGGUUCUGAAGAGUUAAGCGACUUGCUGAUGGUGAUGUUACAGGACCCCAGCA